Molecule: long non-coding RNA, 3454 nt
Organism: Humulus lupulus (European hop)
Lineage: Eukaryota; Viridiplantae; Streptophyta; Magnoliopsida; Rosales; Cannabaceae
Exons: 5
Source: RefSeq, a predicted model, not a curated record
AUAUAUUAUAUUAUAGAAAUAAUUAGUUAUAUAUAACAUUAAAAUAAAAAAAUAUAUAUAUGGUCACAUAUGAAAUAGUAUAUAUAUAAGCAUUAAUUAAAUUAGUUUUAGAUAUAUUUUAAAAUAAUUUACUUAGUCUUAUUUUUUAUUUUAUUUGCAGGUAGAAAACUUAAUUGAAAUAUUUAAUAAAGAAAUAAGUCGAAUUGAUGAAUUAGAAGAAAAAAUACUAGAUGUAGGAAGACUUUUUCUUACUAUAGAAGAUGUCUUUUUUACCAUUAUGCUAACUUGACCUGACAUAUUAGUAUGUCAGUAUUGCAAUUAAUGCUUGCAGCUAGCUGUGCAAGUGGCUUACUUGCAAUGUUAAUACAAAUGAAAAAUAUUGCAAACAUUUGGAAAAAUAUAUAUAAGAAUUUUAGUAAUAUCUUUGGAUAUAAUAAUAGGUUAUUUAUACCUUCCAUUUUGCACGGGAAAGAAAAUGUUUUCACAGAAAGUACACUUAAGUACAAGUAUUUGGAACAUUACUCUAUACUUUUAAUCAUCAUAUUUUUAUUUGCCAUAGCUAUGAUGACGGGUGGAAACAUAUCAGCCUUUCAUAAAUAUUGUCAGGUUAGUAUUUCUUUCUUAUUUAUAAAUUUGAUUUUAUUAUUAGUAGUUUAACUAAUAUCUUUAUUAUUGAUUAUCUUUAUAGGAUCAUGAAAUCGUAGUUCUGAGUCCUAUUUGAUGGUUGUGGAGGAUCAUGCUUGUUUAGAUGCAGUGCUCUAUUGAUUUUUUUAUUUAUUUAUUAGACAAUUAUUAAUUUGGUUUAUCUAGUAGUUUAGUGUUUUUGUUUUGCAUUUUGUGAUUGAAAUUCUUCUUGAGAGCACUUACCGUUGAUUUUUUCUUCUAUAGGAGGAAAGGGAUGAAAGAUACUGAGUAUAUUUACAAAUUCAUUAACCCCAUUUCUCUUUUCAUCAAAAACCUACAAAGAUAAAACAUAUCAAAGCAUAGGAAAAGAAAUCCUAAUCUCUGGCCAUGAUGGAAUUAUUGUCAUUUAUUCUGAACCAAGAUCUUUCUUUCCCAAAAUACCAGUUUUUAUUUAAAAAAUUAUACACUAUUUGAAGAAGAAGUUGGAAGAAUCAUCACUUGAUCACAAAGGAUAAAGAAAUUGCUUCAAGAUUAGGAGUAAUAAUUUAUAAAGAAUGAGGUGCAAGCCAGAUUUGAGCGUAUCACAAAAAUUUCAGAUUGUCUCACAAGGACGAGCUAGCUGCCUUGGCCACUCUGGGACCACUCUGGGAGGCCUACGUACGUACCUCCAUGCAAGGAUUUAAAAAGAAUUGCCAUUUACAGCAGCAAUUGCCAUUUCAUGCCAUUUACAUACAUGAACGCAUGCUUAUUAGGACCAGGUGCAUGCAGUGUACGUAGUGUAGAGUAAUGGGCAGUGUACGCUUGCCUGAUGCAGUGGUACAAAGAGUAGUGGGCAGUGUUUUGCUACAUACGUUAAAACGAGGAACAAAGUGAGACCCAUUUCUGAAAAAUAGAGGCAAAAUUCUUGACUUGGAACAAGGACAGACAGUGGGGCGUGGGCUCGAUUGCACGGAAAAGAAAGAAAAAUAAAAUAAAUAAACCCAAAAUACUACAGGACAAUACCCCAACCAACCCGAUACCCUCUCACUCUCACUCACUCACUCACCCUCCUUGUCUCUUCAUAUACUCAAGACAAUACAAUACCUCAACCAACCCGAUACCCUCUCACUCUCACUCUCACCCUCCUUCUUGGUUCUUCAUAUACUCAAGACAAGCCCAGCCCUAGCUAGCUGCCACUACCUAUAACCACCAUCGUCCUUCUCCCAUCACCAUCUCCAUCCCCAAGACCCAGGUCGAACCUCCGACCUCGAUCGCGCCAUGAUUCGAAGAACCCAGGCAUGAUUCUUUCAGCGUCACUCUUCCCGUCGCCCUAAAUCGAGCCAAGCCCAAAAGACCCAUACCUGUUGCACAGCCUAAACCGAGCCCAGGCGCACCCAACCCAAAUCUGAGAGCCUCUAGCUAGUGCGCUCCACCACCCGGCACGAUUCCACCUCUGCAACACAAAUACACCCAGACCCAUCAAUCCACUGCUACUCCGUAAGUAUAUAUAUAAUUAUAAAUACAUCAUAAUUACUUAUCUACUUACUUUAUUACUGUUUGUCAAUGUCUAGAAGGUUUGAAAUGGAUUCUAGAAGGUUUGAAAUCGAUUUGGAAGGAGAAGCUGCUACCGAUGAGUAAGGUUUGAAAUGUAUAUUGACAAACAGUAAUAAAGUAAGUACCUCAUCAGUAGCAGUUUCUCCUUCCAAAUCGAUUUCAAACCUUCUAGAAUCCAUUUCAAACCUUCUAGACAUUGACAAACAGUAAUAAGGUAAGUAGAUAAGUAAUUAUGAUGUAUUUAUAAUUAUAUAUAUAUACUUACGGAGUAGCAGUGAAUUGAUGGGUCUGGGUGUAUUUGUGUUGUGGAGGUGGAAUCGCACUUGGUGGUGGAGCGCACUAGCUAGGGGCUCUCAGAUUUGGGUUGGGUGCGCCUGGGCUCGGUUUAGGCUGUGCAACAGGUAUGGGUCUUUUGGGCUUGGCUUGAUUUAGGGCGACGGGAAGAGUGGCGCUGAAAGAAUCGCGCCUGGGUUCCUCGAAUCGUGGAGCGAUCGAGGUCGGAGGUUCGGCCUGGAUCUUGGGGAUGGAGAUGGUGAUGGGAGAAGGACGAUGGUGGUUAUGGGUAGUGGCAGCUAGCUAGGGCUGGGCUUGUCUUGUCUUGAGUAUAUGAAGAGACAAGAAGGAGGGUGAGAGUGAGAGGGUAUUGGGUUGGUUGGGGUAUUGUAUUGUCUUGAGUAUAUGAAGAGACAAGAAGGAGGGUGAGUGAGUGAGAGUGAGAGGGUAUCAGGUUGGUUGGGGUAUUAUUGUCUUGUCUUGAGUAUUUUGGGUUUAUUUAUUUUAUUUUUCUUUCUUUUCUGUGCAAUCGAGCCCACGCCCCACUGUCUGUCCUUGUUCCAAGUCCAAAAUUUUGCCUCUAUUUUUCGGAAAUGGGUCUCACUUUGUUCCUCGUUUUAACAUACGUAGCAAAACAGUGCACCACUGUAGAAACACUACGCAUACGGCGUGUUCCACCACUGCAUCAGGCAUACACUGCACCCCUGUACGUACGUACCUUUAUUUUGAGCGUCCACUACACUACGUACAAUGCACCCUAUGCAUACGUACCUCUGUUUUGAGUCCAUUACCCUACCUCCUUUUUAUACAUAUAUAUAUAUAUAUAGAUAAAUUCUUUGGUGCAGUUGUACGAAACGACCGCACAGGUACACCUGUUUUUGGUGGAUUCUAUUGGUUGUGUGGGGUGUGGAACAAAUUGUUAUUAUAGGGAGGAUAGUAUCAAAUAAUUUUUUUUCUUUGUAUUAUACAUUGAUCACGUGGUCUUAACCUAUGACAAGUAAUAUUGGAAUGACUUUCUUUAGUA